Molecule: ribosomal RNA, 495 nt
Filed under: uncultured bacterium
Lineage: Bacteria
Description: partial 16S ribosomal RNA
Rfam family: Bacterial small subunit ribosomal RNA
Source: RNAcentral
GACGAACGCUGGCGGCGUGCCUAAUACAUGCAAGUAGAACGCUGAAGGAGGAGCUUGCUCUUCUGGAUGAGUUGCGAACGGGUGAGUAACGCGUAGGUAACCUGCCUGGUAGCGGGGGAUAACUAUUGGAAACGAUAGCUAAUACCGCAUAACAGUAGAUGUUGCAUGACAUUUACUUAAAAGGUGCAAUUGUAUCACUACCAGAUGGACCUGCGUUGUAUUAGCUAGUUGGUGGGGUAACGGCUCACCAAGGCGACGAUACAUAGCCGACCUGAGAGGGUGAUCGGCCACACUGGGACUGAGACACGGCCCAGACUCCUACGGGAGGCAGCAGUAGGGAAUUUUCGGCAAUGGACGGAAGUCUGACCGAGCAACGCCGCGUGAGUGAAGAAGGUUUUCGGAUCGUAAAGCUCUGUUGUAAGAGAAGAACGAGUGUGAGAGUGGAAAGUUCACACUGUGACGGUAUCUUACCAGAAAGGGACGGCUAACUACGUG